Apis florea (little honeybee) is the source of this 200-nucleotide long non-coding RNA. The record is from RefSeq and is a predicted model, not a curated record. NCBI's taxonomy places the organism in Eukaryota, Metazoa, Arthropoda, Insecta, Hymenoptera, Apidae.
GAAAAGAUUCUUGGAUGGGAAAUGUUUUACAGUGGAUUCUAGUAGAACGAAAGUAAUUCCCAACGUAUGCUGUAUCGUUUCAAGGAACACACAUAUUUGGCAAGAUUUCUCUCGGGAUACUUGCGCGUAGGAAAUGAAGCUUGAACGGUUUGCUGGAAAUUGCGAUCAAGUACACAAUCAAUAAUACAUCCUCGCUCCUC